AGCUUUGUGCAGUGGCAAUAUUAUAGCCAAUGAGGGUUUAUCUAAGGCAUAAUUGUUGCUAAUUGAAUAAUUUGGAUAAAG
RNAcentral lists this small nuclear RNA (81 nucleotides) under Aotus nancymaae (Ma's night monkey). Its description in RNAcentral is "U4 spliceosomal RNA (ENSANAG00000002232.1)". It matches the Rfam family "U4 spliceosomal RNA", at positions 1 to 80 of the family's 138-position model. Rfam says of the family: U4 small nuclear RNA (U4 snRNA) is a component of the major U2-dependent spliceosome. The structure of U4 snRNA from yeast and human has been reported. Lineage: Eukaryota; Metazoa; Chordata; Mammalia; Primates; Aotidae. The record is from Rfam by way of RNAcentral.